UGUCUUUCAUGGAAGGAACCCAGCCCAUUGCUUAUGGUGUUUAAACGUUGUGAACCUUUUUGAAUUUUCAAUAUUUCUGCAUAGAUAUGAUCUAAAAUGUUCUCCACACAAGUCCUAAACUAGAUACAGAGAAUCCAGUUAAACAAAUGAGUAGAAA
Candoia aspera is the source of this 157-nucleotide long non-coding RNA. RefSeq lists it as uncharacterized. The record is from RefSeq and is a predicted model, not a curated record. Lineage: Eukaryota; Metazoa; Chordata; Lepidosauria; Squamata; Candoiidae. The transcript has 2 exons.